Solanum dulcamara is the source of this 767-nucleotide long non-coding RNA. RefSeq lists it as uncharacterized. Lineage: Eukaryota; Viridiplantae; Streptophyta; Magnoliopsida; Solanales; Solanaceae. The record is from RefSeq and is a predicted model, not a curated record. The transcript is spliced from 3 exons.
CUUAUUAUCAAGCUUGUUUAGAGAUUUAACGGAUUAGAACGGAGAAAAUAGUGUUAUAAACUUGUUUGUUGCUUUGUUGGAAUUUAUGGAUUAGGGGAUGUUUUGGUUGGAUUAAAUGGGUGGAAUUAGUUAAGUUAUGAAGUAGAAUGAUUGUUGAUAUUGUUGUUGAUGUUCUUGAUAAGUUGUUGUCGAAAUUGGGGGAAUAAACUUUGCUUGCAAACCCGUUUUUGGUUGGGACUGCUGUUAGUAAUUGUAGUAUAACUCCUUGUGUAAAACUUAGUUUUGAGUGAUUCAAGAUGUUUUGGAAAGCUAUUUCAUAGGGCUAUAACUUUUAUUUAGGAUCCAAAAUCCAGUUUUGCUUUUAUUGACUCGAAAAAGGGUGAUGAAGUACAGGGGAGGUGCUGCCCAGAUUUUGGUCUAAAAAUCCUACAUGGACUGCUGUGGGUGUAUAUUCUCUUAUACAAGCUAAGAGGAACUGUUUGACGAAGUGGAUUUUGGUUGAUCUAUGACAUAGAGAAAUUGAACUCCUCGAGUGGUGGUAGAACUUGUUGUGUGCUAAAACGCCAAGGUGAUGUGCGAGACGGGAUAUGAAGAUGGUCAUGUGGAGUAGACUUUUUGAGAGCUCUUUUGAAGAUCACAUAUGCAUAUACAUCUAGUUUUUGUAUAUUAUUUUGGGGACUUGUACAUGAUACAUGUGUGGCACUUAUGUACGAAAUUUUGAAGGCUUGUAACUUGAACCAAGUGACUAAUUUUGUUAUUUUAGAGUG